AAGUGACGCGAAGCGGCCGGCCUGGGCGCCGACUGCAGAGCCGGGAGGCUGGUGGUCAUGCCGGGGUUCCUGGUUCGCAUCCUUCCUCUGCUGCUGGCUCUGCUGCUUCUGGGCCCUACGCGCGGCUUGCGCGCAGCAACAUCACAGAUGCUUUCCUAAGCCAGAGGAAGUGUGAGCCCAAAGGACCCUUGACCAAGGCUUGGCAGGGCAAUGCCCAAGAAAAACAUGAAGUGUUUGAGGCCUGCUUUGCAGAAUACUGGGACAAGUCUUCCUCGUUAUAAAUCAGCCUGAGAUCUGAAAAUCUGGAUUCAUACAAAGAUCAAUUCUGAAUUCUAUACUGGCUGGCUAGACCACUGGGGCCAACCUCAUUCCACAAUCAAGACCGAAGCAGUGGCUUCCUCCCUCUAUGAUAUACUUGCCCGUGGGGCGAGUGUGAACUUGUACAUGUUUAUAGGUGGGACCAAUUUUGCCUAUUGGAAUGGGGCCAACUCACCCUAUGCAGCACAGCCCACCAGCUACGACUAUGAUGCCCCACUGAGUGAGGCUGGGGACCUCACUGAGAAGUAUUUU
This 570-nucleotide small RNA is filed under the name Pongo abelii (Sumatran orangutan). RNAcentral's name for it is "processed transcript". Lineage: Eukaryota; Metazoa; Chordata; Mammalia; Primates; Hominidae. The record is from RNAcentral.